AGAGUUUGAUCCUGGCUCAGGACGAACGCUGGCGGCGUGCCUAACACAUGCAAGUCGAGCGAGAGACUUCGGUCUCUAGCGGCGGACGGGUGAGUAACACGUGGGUAACCUGCCUCAUAGAGGGGGAUAGCCUCCCGAAAGGGAGAUUAAUACCGCAUAACAUCAUGCUAACGCAUGUUAGUAUGAUCAAAGGAGUAAUCCGCUAUGAGAUGGACCCGCGGCGCAUUAGCUAGUUGGUGAGGUAAAGGCUCACCAAGGCGACGAUGCGUAGCCGACCUGAGAGGGUGAUCGGCCACAUUGGAACUGAGACACGGUCCAGACUCCUACGGGAGGCAGCAGUGGGGAAUAUUGCACAAUGGGCGAAAGCCUGAUGCAGCAACGCCGCGUGAGUGAUGAAGGCCUUCGGGUUGUAAAGCUCUGUCUUUUGGGACGAUAAUGACGGUACCAAAGGAGGAAGCCACGGCUAACUACGUGCCAGCAGCCGCGGUAAUACGUAGGUGGCAAGCGUUGUCCGGAUUUACUGGGCGUAAAGGAUGCGUAGGUGGAUAUUUAAGUGGGAUGUGAAAUACCCGGGCUUAACCUGGGUGCUGCAUUCCAAACUGGAUAUCUGGAGUGCAGGAGAGAUAAGUGGAAUUCCUAGUGUAGCGGUGAAAUGCGUAGAGAUUAGGAAGAACACCAGUGGCGAAGGCGACUUACUGGACUGUAACUGACACUGAGGCAUGAAAGCGUGGGGAGCAAACAGGAUUAGAUACCCUGGUAGUCCACGCCGUAAACUAUGGGUACUAGGUGUGGGAGGUAUC
Molecule: ribosomal RNA, 800 nt
Filed under: uncultured bacterium
Lineage: Bacteria
Description: bacterial SSU rRNA
Rfam family: Bacterial small subunit ribosomal RNA
Source: RNAcentral